UACAGAGGUCCCAAGCGUUGUUCGGAUUCACUGGGCGUAAAGGGUGCGUAGGUGGUGAGGUAAGUCUGAUGUGAAAUCUCCGAGCUCAACUCGGAAAUGGCAUUGGAUACUAUCUUGCUAGAGGAUUGGAGGGGGGACUGGAAUUCUCGGUGUAGCAGUGAAAUGCGUAGAUAUCGAGAGGAACACCAGUGGCGAAGGCGAGUCCCUGGACAACUCCUGACACUGAGGCACGAAAGCUAGGGGAG
RNAcentral lists this ribosomal RNA (245 nucleotides) under uncultured bacterium. RNAcentral describes it as "partial 16S ribosomal RNA". It matches the Rfam family "Bacterial small subunit ribosomal RNA", at positions 524 to 768 of the family's 1533-position model. The record is from RNAcentral.